CAGCAGCCGCGGGAAAACAGAGGGUGCGAGCGUUAAUCGGAUUUACUGGGCGUAAAGCGUGCGUAGGCGGCUUCUUAAGUCGGAUGUGAAAUCCCUGAGCUUAACUUAGGAAUUGCAUUCGAUACUGGGAAGCUAGAGUAUGGGAGAGGAUGGUAGAAUUCCAGGUGUAGCGGUGAAAUGCGUAGAGAUCUGGAGGAAUACCGAUGGCGAAGGCAGCCAUCUGGCCUAAUACUGACGCUGAGGUACGAAAGCAUGGGGAGCAAACAGGAUUAGAUACCCUGUAGUCCCUGUCUCUUAUACA
This 301-nucleotide ribosomal RNA is filed under the name uncultured bacterium. Its description in RNAcentral is "partial 16S ribosomal RNA". It matches the Rfam family "Bacterial small subunit ribosomal RNA", at positions 509 to 808 of the family's 1533-position model. The record is from RNAcentral.